This 499-nucleotide ribosomal RNA is filed under the name uncultured bacterium. RNAcentral's name for it is "bacterial SSU rRNA". It matches the Rfam family "Bacterial small subunit ribosomal RNA", at positions 224 to 735 of the family's 1533-position model. The record is from RNAcentral.
GAUGAGCCCGCGGCCUAUCAGCUUGUUGGUGAGGUAAUGGCUCACCAAGGCUUCGACGGGUAGCCGGCCUGAGAGGGUGACCGGCCACACUGGGACUGAGACACGGCCCAGACUCCUACGGGAGGCAGCAGUGGGGAAUAUUGGACAAUGGGCGGAAGCCUGAUCCAGCAACGCCGCGUGAGGGAUGACGGCCUUCGGGUUGUAAACCUCUUUCAGCACAGACGAAGCGCAAGUGACGGUAUGUGCAGAAGAAGGACCGGCCAACUACGUGCCAGCAGCCGCGGUAAUACGUAGGGUCCGAGCGUUGUCCGGAAUUAUUGGGCGUAAAGGGCUCGUAGGCGGUUUGUCACGUCGGGAGUGAAAACCAGGUGCUUAACACCUGGCCUGCUUUCGAUACGGGCAGACUAGAGGUACUCAGGGGAGAAUGGAAUUCCUGGUGUAACGGUGAAAUGCGCAGAUAUCAAGAGGAACACCGGUGGCGAAGGCGGUUCACUGGGAG